RNAcentral lists this ribosomal RNA (253 nucleotides) under uncultured bacterium. RNAcentral's name for it is "partial 16S ribosomal RNA". It matches the Rfam family "Bacterial small subunit ribosomal RNA", at positions 524 to 776 of the family's 1533-position model. The record is from RNAcentral.
UACGUAGGGCGCGAGCGUUGUCCGGAAUUAUUGGGCGUAAAGAGCUCGUAGGCGGUGUGUCGCGUCGGAUGUGAAAGCCCGGGGCUUAACUCCGGGUCUGCAUUCGAUACGGGCAGACUAGAGUGUGGUAGGGGAGAUCGGAAUUCCUGGUGUAGCGGUGAAAUGCGCAGAUAUCAGGAGGAACACCGGUGGCGAAGGCGGAUCUCUGGGCCAUUACUGACGCUGAGGAGCGAAAGCGUGGGGAGCGAACAGG